Long non-coding RNA from Nicotiana attenuata, 644 nucleotides. RefSeq lists it as uncharacterized. NCBI's taxonomy places the organism in Eukaryota, Viridiplantae, Streptophyta, Magnoliopsida, Solanales, Solanaceae. The record is from RefSeq and is a predicted model, not a curated record. The transcript is spliced from 4 exons.
ACGUUUCUCUUAAGUUCAGUAUAACCAACAUACUUGCAAGAAGUUCAGCACUGUAAGGAUUGAAUAUAGUUGCUGGUGUUGGUGAAAUACACGAAUGAAGAAGCUAGGGGUUCUACCAUGUGUACUUUUGCCACCAAUAAAGGUCAUUGCAGAAUCUGCUAUCAAAUUUGCUUACGUGCUCACCAUUAUUUGCUCCAAGGCAUUUGGCUAUUAACAGAGCUGGACAAUUCAAUUCUCAAGGAUGAUUACUUUAUGUUAUGCCAGCAAACCAGAAAAUUUCUAUAGAGAAAACAGAGAUGAGCAUAUUGAUUAUGAGGAAUAUGUAACAACGAUGAGAAGGGGAAUAUAGGAUUGAUAACUAGAGCAAUAAUUAAAAGAGAACCUAAUUAAAUUAGGGAUGACCAAGUCUACACUGCUGUUUAAAUGGUUGGGUUCAAUAUAAGGUUUUGAUGAGCCUACCACUUGUGUCAUAGCCAGUAGAAAUAGACUUUGUGCAACAACAGUUGAUGCCUGCAAAGAGAAAUCUUGAAGCAAAAAUUCCUUGUUGUCAAUAGUUAGCCAAUAAAUAAAUUUAAAGGCAAACUCUGUAAAUAGCUAACGGGAGUUGUGCUUAAACUUAUGAAAGUGGCUACUCCCUUGCUAGA